RNAcentral lists this unclassified non-coding RNA (253 nucleotides) under uncultured Chitinophagales bacterium. Its description in RNAcentral is "contains 16S-23S intergenic spacer region". It matches the Rfam family "Bacterial small subunit ribosomal RNA", at positions 524 to 776 of the family's 1533-position model. Lineage: Bacteria; Pseudomonadati; Bacteroidota; Chitinophagia; Chitinophagales. The record is from RNAcentral.
UACGGAGGGUGCAAGCGUUAUCCGGAUUCACUGGGCUUAAAGGGUGCGUAGGCGGACAGGUAAGUCAGUGGUGAAAUCCCCGAGCUUAACUCGGGAACUGCCGUUGAUACUACCUAUCUUGAAUAUCGUGGAGGUGAGCGGAAUAUGUCAUGUAGCGGUGAAAUGCUUAGAUAUGACAUAGAACACCAAUUGCGAAGGCAGCUCACUACGCGGUUAUUGACGCUGAGGCACGAAAGCGUGGGGGGCAAACUGG